Molecule: ribosomal RNA, 395 nt
Filed under: uncultured bacterium
Lineage: Bacteria
Description: partial 16S ribosomal RNA
Rfam family: Bacterial small subunit ribosomal RNA
Source: RNAcentral
AUACGUAGGGGGCGAGUGUUGUCCGGAAUGAUUGGGCGUAAAGGGCGCGUAGGCGGCCCGGUAAGUCUGGAGUGAAAGUCCUGUUUUUAAGAUGGGAAUUGCUUUGGAUACUGUCGGGCUUGAGUGCAGGAGAGGUAAGUGGAGUUCCCAGUGUAGCGGUGAAAUGCGUAGAGAUUGGGAGGAACACCAGUGGCGAAGGCGACUUACUGGACUGUAACUGACACUGAGGUACGAAAGUGUGGGGAGCAAACAGGAUUAGAUACCCUGGUAGUCCACACCGUAAACGAUGAGCACUAGGUGUCGGGCUCGCAAGAGUUCGGUGCCGCAGUUAACGCAUUAAGUGCUCCGCCUGGGGAGUACGUACGCAAGUAUGAAACUCAAAUGAAUUGACGGGG